AGCAGCCGCGGUAAUUCCAGCUCCAAUAGCGUAUAUUAAAGUUGUUGCAGUUAAAAAGCUCGUAGUUGAAUUUCGGGGUCAAUAAGUUGGUCAUGCCAAUGGUAUGCACUGGCUUUAUUGAUUCCUACCUCUUGACGAACUGUGAUGCCAUUAAUUUGGUGUUGCAAGGAAUCAGGACUGUUACCUUGAAAAAUUAGAGUGUUUAAAGCAAGCUUACGCUUGAAUACAUUAGCAUGGAAUAAUGAAAUAGGACGUUUGAUCCUAUUUUGUUGGUUUCUAGGAUCGACGUAAUGAUUAAUAGGGAUAGUUGGGGGCAUUAGUAUUCAAUUGUCAGAGGUGAAAUUCUUGGAUUUAUUGAAGACUAACUACUGCGAAAGCAUUUGCCAAGGAUGUUUUCAUUAAUCAAGAACGAAAGUUAGGGGAUCGAAGACGAUCAGAUACCGUCGUAGUCUUAACCAUAAACUAUGCCGACUAGGGAUCGGACGCAG
Molecule: ribosomal RNA, 488 nt
Filed under: uncultured Glomus
Lineage: Eukaryota; Fungi; Glomeromycota; Glomeromycetes; Glomerales; Glomeraceae
Description: SSU rRNA
Rfam family: Eukaryotic small subunit ribosomal RNA
Source: RNAcentral